RNAcentral lists this ribosomal RNA (636 nucleotides) under uncultured bacterium. Its description in RNAcentral is "bacterial SSU rRNA". It matches the Rfam family "Bacterial small subunit ribosomal RNA", at positions 74 to 746 of the family's 1533-position model. The record is from RNAcentral.
CGACGAGACCUUCGGAUCUAGUGGCGCACGGGUGCGUAACGCGUGGGAAUCUACCCUUGGGUUCGGGAUGACAGUUGGAAACGACCGCUAAUACCGGAUGAUGACUUCGGUCCAAAGAUUUAUCGCCCAGGGAUGAGCCCGCGUAGGAUUAGCUUGUUGGUGAGGUAAGAGCUCACCAAGGCGACGAUCCUUAGCUGGUCUGAGAGGAUGAUCAGCCACACUGGGACUGAGACACGGCCCAGACUCCUACGGGAGGCAGCAGUGGGGAAUAUUGGACAAUGGGCGAAAGCCUGAUCCAGCAAUGCCGCGUGAGUGAUGAAGGCCUUAGGGUUGUAAAGCUCUUUUACCCGGGAUGAUAAUGACAGUACCGGGAGAAUAAGCCCCGGCUAACUCCGUGCCAGCAGCCGCGGUAAUACGGAGGGGGCUAGCGUUGUUCGGAAUUACUGGGCGUAAAGCGCGCGUAGGCGGCUUUGUAAGUUAGAGGUGAAAGCCCGGAGCUCAACUCCGGAACUGCCUUUAAGACUGCAUCGCUAGAAUUGUGGAGAGGUGAGUGGAAUUCCGAGUGUAGAGGUGAAAUUCGUAGAUAUUCGGAAGAACACCAGUGGCGAAGGCGACUCACUGGACACAUAUUGACGC